Non-coding RNA from Massarina eburnea CBS 473.64, 103 nucleotides. The record is from the annotation of a GenBank genome assembly. Lineage: Eukaryota; Fungi; Ascomycota; Dothideomycetes; Pleosporales; Massarinaceae.
GGGCUUGUGGUUUAGUGGUAUAAUUUUCCCUUAGCACUUCUUUAAGUUGUAUAACUCAAAGAUAACGUGGGAAAGGUCCUGGGUUCGAUUCCCAGCAAGUCCA